AUGACCUGGGAUUAUAGUGGACCUGAAGGCGCAAUAAGGAAUUACCCUGCUAUGCUAAGUGGCAAAACCUACAUUCAAACCAGUGUACUAGAUCUUUCUGCAAGCCAGUGCUCCAGUACCCAGUCCUACCAGUGCCAUAUCAAACACUAUGACACCAAUAAUAACCUGAUGGUUCCCUGUAAAGAAGUUCCAAACAAUUGUUCUUGCGAAACUACUUAUGUAAUCCUGAGUCCUCCCUCCCUGGAAAGCUUGCUUUUGGGCACAGGCGCCAAUCUGACAUGUACACUCGGUGGCCUCAAGAACAGCAAAGGAGUCAAGUUUACCUGGGUAAAAACUCCGGCCCAGGGAUCAACUCUCAACCCUAUUCAGGGAACACCUCAGCAGGACUCAAGUGGCAAGUACAGCGUGUCCAGUGUCCUGGAGAUCUGUGCUGAGGAGUGGACCCGUGGGGAUAGCUUUUCUUGCACUGUGUCCCACCCUGAGAUAGAAACCACUACCAAGAAGAUCCACAAAGUCAAAGUGAUGGAGAAACCACCCCAAGUCUACCUGCUGCCACCAUCAGCAAGUGAAAGCUCCUUAAAUGAAUGGGUCUCACUCGUAUGCAUGGCGAGGAAUUUCAGCCCAAAGGAAAUAUUGCUACACUGGCUGAAAGGGUCUGAGAAGCUGCCCAGAAAGGACUACAUCAUCAGUGGCCCUUACCCAGAACCCAAGGGCACCAACACUUUUAUAAUAAUCAGCGUCAUUCAAGUCUCAGCCUCCGACUGGAAUAAAGAAAACUUUUCCUGUGUGGUAGGCCAUGAAGCUCUUCCCUUGAACUUCACCCAGCAAACCAUUGACCGAUUCUCUGGUAAACCCACCAAUGUCAAUGUAUCUGUCAUCAUGUCUGAUGUCUAUGGUACAUGUUAUUGA
This is a non-coding RNA of Antechinus flavipes (yellow-footed antechinus), 909 nucleotides long. Lineage: Eukaryota; Metazoa; Chordata; Mammalia; Dasyuromorphia; Dasyuridae. The record is from the annotation of a RefSeq genome assembly.